Molecule: long non-coding RNA, 1242 nt
Organism: Canis lupus familiaris (dog)
Lineage: Eukaryota; Metazoa; Chordata; Mammalia; Carnivora; Canidae
Exons: 3
Source: RefSeq, a predicted model, not a curated record
UCCUAUUCUUAGAACAGAUACAUUCCACUUCUUUCUUGUUCUUUUACAAAUUUUUCCCCUUCUUAGCUCUGUGAUCCUUCCGUAACAGAUUUGGCAUACAGUGGUAGCUGGCUGGGUGACUGAGGACAAAUCACUCUACCUCUCGGAGUCUUGGGUUCCUCAUCAAAAAUGGGGUUGUGUAUUAAAGACUCCUGUCGAGAUGCUGCAAAGAGUGAGGCUGCACAUAGAAAAGCCAGCCAGGUGGCAUGCUGAAAGAAUAGUGACAAUGAUAAAAUAACGAUGAGAGCGAAUGGAGGCUCAGCAAGGCUAAGCCAUUUGCCCAAGGCCACAGAGCUGGGGGAGUAGUGGAGGCAGGACCUGAAGCGGCUCUCUCAGGCUCCGUCCCAGAUGACUGCACAAGGAGUCCUACCACCUUGGCUGUUAACUCUGUCCCUUCUUGUCUGUGGUGUGUAGCAUACAUCCUGCAAAUGCCAGAUCCAGUAUGGGCUCUGAGAACGUUCCCCUUGUGCAGUCUUAUGCAUUCAUCUCUUCAUUCACACCCCAUUCAGCGGUCUCCUCUGUCAAUUGGGGGGGGGGGGGCGAGGAGGAAGAGCUUCAAGAAAAAAUGCUGCCUCCUUGCCAGAGAAAAAGCAGCCAAUGGCAAGUAUCCUUGCUUUAUUCCUAUGAUGUGGUUCUACUAUUGACGACCUGAAAGAGCCCCCACCAAAUCUCCCUGUUGCCUUCCUGUUUUGGAUGUGCCUGGAAUGAUUUUCUGGUUUUUCUAUUACCCGAACACUAGGGUCACUUUGGCCCCGCCAGUGCCCCUUUGUUAGCUGUCUUCCCUUGGUAAUUCCCUCGUCAAUCAAGAUCUGUUUCUGGCAAUGCCAGACCUCCUUUCUCCCCAUGACAGAAUGCCACUAACACUCUAUUAUGACUGCUUGACCGGGUGUUAGCCCCACAAGUAGGCACUGUAGCUUUAUAAAUUUCCAACGCUAUUGUAUAUACACAGAGUCAUGUCAUGAAUCUUGAGGCUGAGGAGGAAGGGAGGGAAGAGAUCUGGAGGGAAGAGAUGAAAAUAUCACACCAGGUCUGGGACAUCAUAUGGCUCUAGCAUCUGGCUGAUCCUUAUAAGCUACCCAUUAUUUAAUGCCAUUAACUGUGAAAGAGGGCUUCUGGACUCCGCUCUCAGCCAAACAAAGGGCUCUGUAUUUUUCCCGAUUUUCAAGAAAAUGCAUACCCUAACAGAUGUUUUUAGGAAACCAU